Long non-coding RNA from Mugil cephalus (flathead mullet), 3975 nucleotides. RefSeq lists it as uncharacterized. The record is from RefSeq and is a predicted model, not a curated record. NCBI's taxonomy places the organism in Eukaryota, Metazoa, Chordata, Actinopteri, Mugiliformes, Mugilidae. The transcript has 6 exons.
CUUCCUCUUUUGUCUAAUAAUAUAGCUAGACGUCUCUUGCCCUUCUGCACUUCCUCUUUUGUCUAAUAAUAUCGUUGUGUAACAACUCUGCCUUACUUUAUGUUUUGAUCUUUGCAUGUUCUAGAACAUUCUAAACUAUUUUCGUUGCUCAUCUGUUCUGUUGCUAUGCGAUUAGUCACGUCCCUUCGAGUGGUAUCUCGUCCUAUUGGUCUAAUCUCUUUUUCACACGCAUGUUCACUCCUUCUACAUUCCCCCACACCCUUACUUAUCUUAUAUACUGUUUUAAUCUACACCUUUUAGUUAUAGAGGUAAUAUGCAUUAUAUAUUUUCCCUGAUAUAAGCUAACAUGUAUAUACACUUGUUUUAUUUUCCACACCUGAUGCACUUCCGAUUGUACUAUAUUCUAUUCGUAGUACACCAAAUGCCACAACAGGGUUAAACCCUCAUGAGGUGUUAAUGGGUAGGCCUAUGUUCACAGGAGCAAGCCCACCUUUGACCCCACAUAAAGUCACUCUAAUGUGGACAGAUGAUUAUAUGCACUGUAAAAUCUAAUUCUACAUCUUACUUUUUUUUUUCUCGAAUCAGUUCAUUAAAAUAAUUCGUUCAAUUGAUUCGCCAUGUGAACCACCAGUAUGCGAACAAAUCAGUUAGUGAUUCGUUCGUCACGUGAACCAGCACCCUGCAGGUCGCGAGUCAGCCUCUGUGCCAUUGCCGACCAUUGCCACCCUGCUUUCGUGUUGAUAUAUUUUUAAAUGAUGACUGGAAAAGUAAUGUCGUUCUGGACCAACCCGGAGGUGAGGGCUUUUCUGUCCUUGUUUCGCGAAGACAGUAUACAGCGGGAGUUGGACAGGACCUCUCGGAAAGACAACGACAACGAACGUUUUCCAUUGGAUCGUGGCUGAGAUGGCCAAAUUUGGCUUUAUCAGGACAGUAAAACAAAUGGAGAAACUUAAAAAUUCACCAAGCAAACAAGCAUAUUGAAGAAAUACAUAAUUAACAACCAUCAAGAUAUGAUAGUAAUUUCUUAACUUGGUACAAAAUAUUGUGUUCUGUUUCUGUUUUUGCAGAAUUCACAAGAGCGGCAAGCAAAGAUCCUUGGACUGGCCUACCCCAAAAUUCCUUGAGAUCUUCAAAUCUAAAAAGGGAGAUGUUGGCAGGACACUUGCAGAGAUUGUUGCACAGGCUGAAACAAGUCUGCUUCAUAAGUAUUAUUUGGUAUGUUGAAGGUUUUGUACCACAAAGACAAAAUCUUAACCUCAGUUUUGACUUUUCUUUGUAUACGCAGGAUUCAGAUGCCACUGUGGAUUUCACACAGGUUCCUGUUGGAGUAGCGAUUGUUAUACCUGAAGAGAGUCAUCAGCCAGGUCCAAAUGCCCUACAUCUUGAACCAUCCAGCACUGGCAUCAUACUGGAAGAUUCUCUUUCCUCUAGGUGGAAGGGUCCAUACCAGGUGUUGCUGGUGACCAGGUGUUGCUGGUGACCAGAACGGCAGUAAAGGUCGAAGGCAGAGCAGAAUGGAUUUAUGUAACAUGGUGCUGGCUGGCCCCAAGUAGCAGGGAGGUGCCAAAAGAGACGUAAUAUGGCCUCUACUUCUCCUCCUGAUGCUUAGCUGCUCUGCUCGAUCUGAUGUCACUGAGGAGACCCACCCGACGACUGAUAGCCAUAACAAAGAUACAGAGAAAGGAAUAUCCUUUCAUUGCCCAGAGACAGACAUCUCGUAUCCUGACUGUGAGUCUAAUAGUAUCUGGAUGAGGAGCACUUCUGCAAAGGUGAAAACGGUAAAGACAUUUACUGGGGAACUGUUGAAGACAUUGGAUACUUCACAUGACACUUCUGAUAACAUUCAGAAACCUCUGACAUCUUCUGAGAACAUUCACAACACUGCUGUGGAGUUGAGGUUGGAUUAUGCUCAGGAACGUAAUCUAUCACAUUGUUGGUUGUGUCAGAAUUUGCCAAAAUCUAUGUAUUCUCCGAUGUUUGCCCCCAUUCCGUUUACCCUGGCAGAUUAUCGGGUAGUGAACUUGAACAAGCUGACCCCACGACUGGAGGACGAUGGUGAAAACUACUACCCUAUGGACCUGCUGGACUACUCUAGGUACCGAGGGGUGGUGGGUAUGGCAGUGAAUGAGAUAAAUAAACACUAUUUGCCUAAUUGCUCCGCAUUAAUUCUGUAUGGAUGGAGCAUUUACAUAUAGAAUGUCACUUAUCUUAGCUCAAACCAACUGUUCUGAAUUUCCUCUGAGCCCACAGUGUGUACCAGAGCCUUUCACUCCCUCUGUGUUAACUGAUGUAUUGUUAGAGGUGCACCCAUGGUUUGGAUCCACAUCGGCUCGCAGAAAAUAGAUUAUUGGAGAUCAGCCAUUCAUCACAGACGUCAUUUCCAGAUGGCCAGCUCUGUUCCAUGAGAGACAGGGCAGAAUUGAGAGAACUGUCACCACAGACCUUCUGGAAUCUUUUCUCAAUUGACUUGAUGGGCUGGUCCCAAGACUGCUGGAGGUAUACAAAGCAGCAACCAAGUCUGGAAAGAAGCAGUCAGUCAAAGAAAUUUUGAAAUGCCUUGAGAAAAAUGAGAAGGACUGCCACACUACAUAUCAGGCGAAGAUCCAUCAGACGUCAUCAGGAUGUGUGAUGCUCAUGUUGAAACUCUGGAUGAAGCCAUGAAGGGGAUGCACCUUGGCCUCCUGAUUGGCUAUGAAGGUCCUCAACAGGAUGCCUUUCCACAUGAGGUCUUCAAUAUGGCAGUUUUGGUUGAGGAGACCGGUGUGCUUCACAACAUUAAAGAUGUGCCAAGCAGCUUUGCCAUGCUUAUGGGCAUCAUCUAAUGUGUGAAUCUUGAGUGUCCAGAAGCCAUGAAGUAUUCCUUUGAGUUUCUUCAGAGAGUGGUGAUGAAGAUCAAACCGGACCAAGCCACACAGCUUAAGAAACCAGCUAAAUUCUUUAUUCUUUUACGGCUUUAGUACUUGUACUUGUUGUGUUGAUUAAGUGUACUGUAUUGUGACAGCAAUUAAGUUUUUCUUUAGACGUCUUUCACAUGCGGUGAUAACUCAAGUUCCUUUAGUAGUAGAUGAUUCUGACUGUAGAGAGAACAAAGAGGUCUUUGACCCAUGGGUUCCCCCUUUUGAGUCUGAUGGGGACUCCUAGGUUGCUUGGAUGGAUGGAUUUCUGAUGGGUUUUAGAAGGAGACAGUUUGUGUUACAUAGUUAUUUGAUUACUUUUAACUUUUAACAGAUUUAACAGAUUGAUUCAGGUGAUUCAAUGGGUAAUUUUAUUAGUAAUUUACUAAACUUUAAAUGAGUUUUAUAUAUAGGUAUGUGAGUUUACUUGAUUGUUAACAUAGAAUAAUUAUUUCAUAUACAAUAUUAUGUAUGAUGCAUAAUUGGUUUGGAUUAUAUGAAAAUGAUUAUUAUUUCUGAUGUUUUACUCUGAUUACUGUUAAUCAUUUAGUGACUUUAUAUUAUAAGAAUAUUUAAUCAUUCUACCAUUUCUAAUAUUGUGCCUUGAUGUAGAUAGGGACAGAUGUGGUAAAGACAUUGCUGGAAGUGAUGUGCUAGUAACCUCUCCUUCCUAGGCAUUUCUGAUUGACAGGCUGUUAAGCUCUUAUGCAAAUCUCUAGGAUCACUGCCCCAUGAUUUGAGUCUUAACAUCCAUCUCUGAAAUUAUAAGGGAGUGGUAGGAAAGUUUUUCCCACUGGGUUUUCGUUCCUACCUGCAUAACCUUUGAGGCUUCCGGUCUGUAUAGUAUGUUAAACAUGUCUCUUUGGGCUAGACAUUGUUCCUUCCAUAGUCAAAACAGGGUCUGCAAGGUUGGCUGAAUAGACUGACUAUUACCACAGAUGGUGAUAACCAGUGGUUGACCUCUAAAUUCUCAUCUUAUAUAUUCCUCCUGUCAUGAGAGGCUUGUCAGAAUGGUUCUGGCUCCCAAUGCAUGAACAGCUGUUACCAUUUCUCCUGAUCAGUAAACCUUAUUUCACUGCAA